CAAGAGCGUAUGUAAAAGUUGUUGCAGUUAAAAAGCUCGUAGUUGAACCUUGGGUUUGGUUGGCCGGUCCGCUUUUUUGCGAGUACUGGAUUCAACCGAGCCUUUCCUUCUGGCUAACCAGUCGUUUCUGCGGCUGGCGAACCAGGAUUUUUACUUUGAGAAAAUUAGAGUGUUCAAAGCAGGCAUUAGCUUGAAUAUAUUAGCAUGGAAUAAUAGAAUAGGACGUUAUGGUUCUAUUUUGUUGGUUUCUAGGACCAUCGUAAUGAUUAAUAGGGACGGUCGGGGGCAUCAGUAUUCAGUUGUCAGAGGUGAAAUUCUUGGAUUUACUGAAGACUAACUACUGCGAAAGCAUUUGCCAAGGACGUUUUCAUUAA
Molecule: ribosomal RNA, 374 nt
Filed under: uncultured eukaryote
Lineage: Eukaryota
Description: partial 18S ribosomal RNA
Rfam family: Eukaryotic small subunit ribosomal RNA
Source: RNAcentral